CAGUAGCCGCGGUAAUACGUAGGUGGCAAGCGUUGUCCGGAAUUAUUGGGCGUAAAGCGCGCGCAGGCGGAUAGGUCAGUCUGUCUUAAAAGUUCGGGGCUUAACCCCGUGAUGGGAUGGAAACUGCCAAUCUAGAGUAUCGGAGAGGAAAGUGGAAUUCCACGUGUAGCGGUGAAAUGCGUAGAUAUAUGGAGGAACACCGGUGGCGAAAGCGGCUCUCUGGUCUGUAACUGACGCUGAGGCUCGAAAGCGUGGGGAGCGAACAGGAUUAGAUACCCGGGUAGUCCCUGUCUCUUAUACC
This 301-nucleotide ribosomal RNA is filed under the name uncultured bacterium. RNAcentral describes it as "partial 16S ribosomal RNA". It matches the Rfam family "Bacterial small subunit ribosomal RNA", at positions 509 to 808 of the family's 1533-position model. The record is from RNAcentral.